UAUUAACGUAACAGGAAAAUCAUUCUCCAAUAAGUUCCAUUAAAACCCUACAUUAGAAGUUUAGCUACUCAUACUCAUAGUAACAAUAUCCCAAGUGAUUUGCAUAAAUAAAUUACAAAGUAAAGAUGAAGGAAUGUGGAAAUCGAUGAUUCUAUCUCCCAACGGGUAUUCCACGAGCUAUUCUUGCCCCCGGUUGCAAAACUCCUCCAAAAGUGGCGUUUAAUGUCUAUUUAUAUGUGUAAGAAAAGACAUAAAUUAGUCAAACAAGGAGACGAAAUAUGCCUUCAAAAUCUGGAUCAGGCUUUCCUCAGACCGUGUCUCGCGAGGUAAAAUGCGAGAUGAACCUCGCCCCAGACCAUGCGACGCCUGCCUCCACGCGAGCUCAACCUCGCCUUAUCCCUCGCGUCGCCUGCUCCCACGCGAGCUCAAAGGCUCGCCACGCCAGCUCUAACGCGAGCUCAGUAGCUAGCUUCGCCAGCUUCCUCAUUUUUCCGCUGCUCACUUCUUUCUUCCUUUUUUUCAACUAUUUUCGAGCACGCUUUAGACUUUAAAUAUUUCUUUUGCUCUACUUUCAUCUCCAAUGUACCUACACAUAAAAUAGACUAUAUUAUGCGUAAAUAAACUGUAAUUUAGCAUUAACGCACCUAAAAUGCAAGGUAAAUAAUGUGCUAAAAUAUGGAAUUAUAACCACACAUUAAUCAACCAUACCUUUUCAUCCCACUAUUUUUUUUUUUUUGCAUAAUUUGCAAGAAUUUUUGCUAAACUAUGAGAGCGAAAGAGAAGAGAUAGAAGAAGAAAUACAAGGAGAGAAAAGGGGAGGGAAGCCAAAAUAAGCGAGUAAUUUUUUUGAGAGAGAAUAUAUAAGAGAGUAGUUUUUUUACGAUUUGGCUAUAUAAUGCCAAUUGUUUGAGGCUAUCUUUGCCAAAUCUAAUAUAAGGCUAAAAAAUACCAAUUCCUAUUAUGUGUUGUUAUAGGAUGCUAAUUUUUCUUUAAAGAUACCAUGUUUAACCCUUUUAAUCCCUAGAUACUAAUUCCAAUUGAGAGGAAACAGUGAAGCUAUACGACAAAAACUAACUACUUAAAGCUACAAACAUUCAGAAGUAAAAAGAAUAGCUUUAACCCCAGUGUCAUUAUUAUUUAUCUAACUCAAAGCAACUAAUCAGAUAGUAUCAAGAUAAUGGAUUAACUAAUCAAAAUAACGACCAAACUUCCUCUAAUACUAACAACAACAAAUUUGAAUUUUUAAGUAAACCCAGUUCGAGUUAUGGAAUCAACUUACACAUAGAUAUAAACCUAAUGCAAUAAUCAUUCAACCAAAAUCCAUGAAUCAAACUAGGAAGACAUGAUACAUGUGUAAAAGAACGGAUCUUUAUUGCCGAAUUCGAAUUUUAAAGCUUUGCAACUCAACAAACGGACCAAACACCAGUGACCACGAUCGGAAACCAGUGACAGCAACCUCGAACUCAACUCUCGAACCCCUUUUAGCUUCAGCUGAGGGAACCCAUUUUUUACUGAUUUUUGGUGAUUGUCUUGGGCCGUUUCCGGGGUGUUUUCUGAUGGAAGAACCGCGGCUGUUAUGGGGGUCGUUUUUGGGGCUUCUAGAUGGAAGAUUUUGGUGGCUUAACAUAUGGUUAUGGGGACUAAUUAAUAGUGGAAGAAGGUGGUCGUUUCACGGUGUUAAAUUGCUGGUUAUUUGGUGAGUUUUAUGGCUGAAACUUGGUGCUUGGGAAAGAAGGCUGCUUUAAUAGUAUUUUGGGUGAAGUUUCAUGGAGGAAAAUAGUGUUUGGGAAGAAGGAGGAUUUCUGCUUUUUCUUAAGCUGCUGCGCCUCUUUUCUUUCUAGCUCUCUUGCUAGCUAAAGAUGAAGAUUAUUCCUAGCGUUCCUUUUUCGUUCCUUUCUUUUCCGUAUUUUUAUCUGUCUAGGUCUAGUGGGGUAAAAUAUGAGAAAGAAGUUUUAUAGGUAUAAGUGUAUAUGUGCAGGGAGGUUUUAUGUUGUGCUUCUCGUUUGGUACGAAAAAUAAGGGAUAAUUAAAUUCAGGAUUAAAUUUAAGAUGAACUUAUUUCAUAUUUGGUUGGGAUAAAAUUAUGGUAUAACUAAUGGAAUUAGUUAUCCGAAGAUUGUAAUAUUUUUUUAUCCCUAUAGAAUAACUAAUUUCAGAAUAACUAAUUAUGGAACAAUUUGUUUCCCAAUAAAACGACUCCUUAGCGUAAGGAGAAGGAAACUUUAGGGAGGAAUAUUAUGGAAUAUGCCUAUUGGAUAAAAAGAAAUAAUCAUAGUGGAGCUUCCUAGAAGGUGUAUAGGAAGGAAUAGGAGUGAUUAAGUGGCAUAUUAUUUUUUAAAAAUCCUAUCCUUACUAAAUUAAAAUACCCAAAGUAGGAAUAAUAAUUAGUUAAUUUUAAUCUGAAAUUUAUUAAAGAAUAAUUCGAAAACGCUAACUUACUAAAAUUGAAAGAAGACAAUAUUUUUGGUGAUUUUUUAAUUUUCUCAAACAAAGCUUGUUGAAAUUUUUAUCUUAAGAACUUGAACUNNNNNNNNNNNNNNNNNNNNNNNNNAGUUAGUUAUUAUUAUUACUACGUACUACUACUACUCUCUCUCUCUCUCUCUCUCUCUCUCUCUAUAUAUAUAUAUAUAUAUAUAUAUAUAUAUAUAUAAAAUUUAUUUCUUUUGUAAGAAUAAAAGCUACUACUCUAAAAAUGUAAAUAUCUUUUGUGGUUUUAUAAACUAAACCUACUAAAAAUUAAAAUAAAGGUUAAAAUAUCAGGAGUAAACUUAACAAAUAUUUAAAUAUAAAAAAGGCAUAAAAAUUCUAAAUAUGUUUAAAAAUUAUGUGCUCACAAACAGCUGGUUUGGAUGAUUGUUAAAUAUUGUUCCAUAAUGUAUCAUCUUGUACUGUAUUAUUUUGCAAAUAUAAUGUUGGAUCUAUUACAUGUUUUGAUACCAUUUAGUAACAUCAUUAUUAUUUGAUUUGACUGUAUCAUAUUUUGUCGCAACUGAUAAGUUUAUUAAAAGGAAAACUCAUAAAUAAAAAUAAAAGGCAAAACAAAAAGCAUAAGCUUCAAAAGAAAAUAUUAUGAAAAAAAGUCUUGAUCCCGUAAAACCCCCUCAAUAGUUAGCCCAAAUGACCAUCAGAAGUAUACUUACACAAUACGUGCAGAAGUGUAGCAGAAGUACGUAAAUCAAUGCAUACCCAGUAAGUAUCUAGCCUAACACCGCUGAAGUAAUGAUGUGGGGUCGACAUUAACACUUACUAGUGAUCCAAUGAAUCAAUAUAUUAAAUUAUAAAGCACAACAACAAUAAAGAGGUAAGAACUGUAACUAACAAAAAAUUUCCAACAUUAUGACAAUAUAAAUUUCUCUUAGUGUAGUUAUAUUUUUUUUCUUUUCGUUUUUAGGAACAAACAUAUUUGUAGGUAUAUUCGGCAAGUCGUACACUGCAUUGCGCGUCACCUAGUCCCUAGAGAGCUUGGCCAGGCGGAAAGCCUCGUGUCGCCUGAUGGAAAGCUUGCAUGGGAGCUCGCCUCGCGAGGGAAAAGGCAAGGUGCAUGCCGCGUGGAGCCUCGCAUCGCACGACUAAGAGCUCGCGUUGGAGCUCGCCUCACGAGGGGUAAAGCGAGGCAGCAACCUCGCGUCACCAGGUAAGUGCAUUUUUCGAUUUAUUUUAACUUUUUUCCUUUAUUUCUUUUAACCCCCUCCCUUAAAACCUAACCUAAACGCCCAAAACCUCACUUCUCACAAAAAGCACACAACCUCACUGCUCACGCCAAGAAUACUUCAAACCCCCCCCCCCCCUCACAACCCAAUUGAAGACAAGCACUAUUCUACUCUUUCCUUCACCUGCAAUAGCAAUUCAAGGGCAAUCCCUCCUCUUAAACAUCUAAGGUAUGAUUUCUACCUCCAUUCUUUGGCAAUUUCGAUUUAGGUGAAUGCAUGUCAUUGGAAAAAAAAUGGGUUGUUCUUCAUUGUCACAAUGUGUUUUGUGUCCCAAACCCAUGAACCCCAUAGGAAUGGUGUUGUUAUUGUGUGAACAAGUGGUAGCAUAGAACCCCCAAGCCGAUUUGGGAGGGUGAGGUAAUCCCUCAUCCCUACAAGCACCCCCAUGGCACUAGUGCAUGCUAAGUGUUUGUCAUAAUGCCUCAAAGGCAUUCCUUGUCCCCAUUGGAGCCCGAGUCUCUAGGAUUGUAAGACUAGUGCUAUGUAGCCAUGCACCACUUUAAAAUUUUAAGUGUAGGGUGGCUCACCGAUAGCCCGAUACUUAAAAAUUGGAGGAAGCACCCAUGUGUCAUUGCUUGAUUCUCAUGCUAAGAAAAGAUGAGGCGAAGUCUGAGUAACCUCAAAAAUGGUUGAAAAUCAUAUGUUGAACUCUUAAGUGUGGGGUGGCAAGAUCAUGUUUCGAAAUGUUGCAAUGCAGCUUAAACUGAUUAAUGCUCACUUGUGUAGGUACUAAUAUACCUCCAAGAAAGGACACCGGUAAAGGAAAGGCCACAUCCACUGCUCUGUCUAAGGCUAAGGCUCCCUCCGCACCCCCACUGAAGAAGAGAAAAGGGGGGAAGCUACUUCCAGUUAGGGUGAAGGACUACGAGCAGUUGCAGCUAUUGCAGCCACUCGUCUACAACCUCAGGGCCAACAAGAAUUUGGAAUCAAGAGCAGACCCCCACAUGUGAAGGACUGGUACAAGCAUUGUAGGCCGAGACAUAUACAUCCAGAAUCUGAUAUUCAUGAGCGUCGCCUACAAGCCAAGUACCAAGCAAUUUGGAGAGGUAUUCGUGAUAUGGGGUUGAGCUAUUUGUUCAAAAACUAUGGAGAUAUCAAUGUCAAUCUUGUGAGGGAGUUUUAUGCCGAUUUUCACCCAGAGGAUUCUGAGAAGCUGGUGCCUAUUUAGGGAAGGUUGAUCGAUUUUUCAGCCUCGGCGAUAUGCAAUUUCUUAGGUGCAUUGGAUGUUCCCCAGGGACCCUUGGACAAUUUCAUCAUCUUUCCUACUUAUCAAGAGCUAAGACACACUCUUUGUGGGAUCAACUCUGUGGCGACUUGGGUGCGGGAUAAGAAAACUAAUCGCCAUAGGGAAUUCCCAAAGAAGAAUAUGAAGGCAGAAGCGCAAGUAUGGUUGAAAUUGAUUAAUACACGGCUCAUACCCGUGAAAGGACUUGCGUGUUAUAUUUAUUAAUAAUGGGACAAAGGGUGAAUGUGGGCCACUUGAUCCGUUACCAGAUGACCCAAGUGCGAACUAGCAAGAAAAUUGAUCGAAUGCCCUUUUGCAAACAUGUUAACACAAUACUUGCGACAAAAGGAGGUGGAGGAGGAGAAAGUGUUCGAUCACAUCAUUGAUCCAUCCCUAAGACGAACGGACCCCACAAAUGUCCGGGCUAAGGAGGAGAAUACCACAACUUCACUGACAGAGGCUGAGUGCAAUGCGCGCGAUGGUAGCUUUAUCACCUAUUUAUAUGGGAUGAUGGACUUGCAGCUUCGGAUUGGGGGACGGUCGGCCACUACGGAGGAGAGGGCCAUAUUAGAGGUGCGAUUCCCACUAAAUGCUCAUGCUUAGCAGUUGGUUGGGCUAGGUAAUGGAUACAGACACUCAGAUGAUGAGGAUGUCAACACACCGGAGCAAUCCGAGGCCGAGCCGGAUCAGUCAGAUGAGGAGGAGGAGGAAGCACAAGAUGAGGAGUGGGCAGCCUCAGAAGAGGAAGGCGAUGACGCAGCUUGAUCAGGGAGUUUUCAUACACCCUACUCUCCUUUUUCUUGUUGUAUCAUCUGGUGUAUGCACUGAGGACAUUGCAUAAAAUAAGUGAGGGGUGGUAAAUUGUAUAUAUUAGUUUUGUUUUAGUUAUUUUUUUAGUUAGUUCCAUCUUAGCCUUUUAGAAAAAAAAAUUAGUGUUGGCUUAGCCUUGUAAAAAAAAAGAAGUAGAAAAAUUGGACUCUUCCCGAAGAUGGAUCUCCUAGACAGUUUUCUUGAGAGAACUAAGUCUAAAGAGAAAAAAACCAAAAAUAUUUUCUUGUAGGUAGUGUAGUAAUUCCCCCUUGGUUUUUCUUUGUGCCGUGAUUCUUUUCCAGGGGUUUUAGUUGAACUGGGUGUAGUUAGUUUUAAUUUAGGAGUAGAAACCAAUGGGCUAUGAAUUGAAUUGCAGCGAUAUCUCUUGACUUUGAUAUGCCUUGAGAAUACUGAGUACUCUGGUUGUGAUGCUUAGGCUCAAUGUUUGACACUAGUAUAAGUACCUUAAAUUUGCUUAACUGCUUUGACUGGAGUGUCGUGAUAAAACCAAUCCUAAGUGAGUUAGGUGUCAUGUCUGUGUGAGGUUUGUAUGUAUUCUAUGCAUUGCAGUUGAUGUCUAGAAAUUGUCCCUUGUGUGUGCAAAGAGAAAUAGUAGUCUUGUUCAGUCUGGAAAGUGAUAUAGGCAUUUCUUUGUUGAGCCAGAUAUAUAUAGAGCUUACCCGCCUAAAUGUCUUAUAACGUAGUUAACCCCUUUGAGCUUAUAAUCAUGUUUCUUUGGCAGCCACAUUACAAGCCUUAUCCCUUUGUUUGAAUUGACCAUAUAUUUGAACCUUGUCACCUCUCAUGAGCACUUGAAUUGUGAUGAUUUAUGUAAAUAUAAAAGGGUGGGGUGGUGGUUUGGCUUUUGAGUAGAACUAAUGAAAUAAGGAGAAAGGUGCACCGUUUUUUAAAAAAAAAAGAAAAAUAUAUCAAUAAAAGCCACUUGGAUUGAAGAAAAAAAUAAUAUAUAUAGUUGUAUUGUAUGAAAAAUAAUUCUUGAUGGUGGUGGCUAGUGAUAUAUUUGUGCUUAAUGAAGUAUGGGGUAAUAUACAUUGAUGUGAAGGUGGAGUUUAUGUUGACAUAAGUAUGGGCUUGAGUGUUAAAGUAUAUGUAUUAAAGUGCUUAAGGGAGGUGUAGUCACUCAUAUCCAAAUGUAUCCUACCCGACCCGUAGCCUACAUUACAACCAAUUAAAGUCCUAUUUGAUCUUAGACUAAAUGAGCUCGAUAAGUAUAGUAUUACACUAGGGGAAAGCCUAUGGUGCAUCAUUUGUGGAAUAUGAAUGUUAUUUCUGAGAACGAGUGAAUUCUUCAUAUCUUGAGUUCCUACGAUCUUAAAAUUUAUUGUGUGUGGAACUAAUCUCUUUUGUUGUGUUAGAACACAUGAUUCAUGAUGGAGAGGUAAUGUUGUUGAGCUCCAUGUUAGAGUAAGUAAGUGAACUGUGAAUAAUGCAUGGUAUUUGUGAGUCAAAUCUUGAGGUGGGGAUGUUACACCUUUGUGCUUAGUAUAUUUUAAAGAUUCUUGGUGUGAGGAGUUAAGGGAAUUUCUUAAAAAAGGUCGUGUCUAUAAGUGUAGCUUGAUUGCUCGAGGAUGAGCCACGUUUAAGUGUGGGGUAUUAAUGUGUGGCUGUAAUUCCAUAUUUUAGCACAUUAUGUACCUUGCAUUUUAGGUGCGUUAAUGCUAAACUAUACUUUAUUUGCGCGUAAUGGAAUCUAUUUUAUGUGUAGGUACAUUGGAGAUGAAAGUAGAGCAAAAGAAAUAUUUAAAGUCUAAAGCGUGCUCGAAAACAGUUGAAAAACAAAAGAAAGAAGUGAGCAGCAGAAAAAUGAGGAAGUUGUUAGAGCUGGCGAGGCGAGCUUUUGAGCUCGCGUGGGAGCAAGCAACACGAGGGAUAAGGUGAGGUUGAGUUAACGUGGAGGCAGGCGUCGCAUGGUUUGGGGCGAGGUUCAUCUCGCAUUUUACCU
This 7708-nucleotide long non-coding RNA is filed under the name Nicotiana tabacum (common tobacco). RNAcentral's name for it is "long non-coding RNA (NTAB_LNC016444)". Lineage: Eukaryota; Viridiplantae; Streptophyta; Magnoliopsida; Solanales; Solanaceae. The record is from RNAcentral.